GCCGAGGUCCUCUUCCAGGAUUGGCUACCUCCUCAUAACCAUAAGAUAAUUAAAACUUGGCGGGGGGGGGGGGCAGGGUUAAAAAAACUUUUUUUAUCAGUCAGAGGAUAAUGCAAGUGUUUAACAGAUGCUUCACUAUUAAAAUAUUUUCCCCCCAAGUCUCAAAUAUUGAAGAAUCUCUAACCAGGCUCGAAACGCCGGUCUCAGUGGCUAUUGAGUUACCCACCAAGUUACCCCGGUUAGAGCUGUUUGGGGUGGCUCACGUUAUUGCGGCAAACUUUGGAGAUGACGGCUGAGUCCUCCGGGCGAACAUGUCAAGCCGAUUGUAAAUGCUGUUAUUUCCACAUCCUUCAGGGACACCAGUCCCUACGAAGACCUUGGGCGAUUUUGAAGUGCGGGCACCUCGAUUCCCCGAAUCUGUAGUGUGGCUGGUAUCGGUGUUCCCCUGGUUUAACUAGCCUGUUUGAAGGCACAGAUCAUUCAUGGGGAUGUAUAACCGAAACCAGUCCUCUCCACCGCCUGGGGAUCUUCACUUUCGCAGUCUACGACUGCCUGUGACUCCAGAAAGACAAACUGCAGAUUGGCCAAGCUGCCUGAAGACCCAGCCCGACAGCGAUGCCUGUCAGCCCGCGUCGCCCACCAGGGCAGCUGCUCUCCCAACUCGCAUGGGGGGCACCACCCCGCCUCGGUGCCCUAGAGCUGAGCGCAGCCGCGGCUCCACGGGGAUCGCCAGGGCCUCAGCCCUCGCGGCCGGCGGCGCGGGAGUGUUGCGGGGCAGGGACCAGAGCGCGAUCAGAGCGGCCACCCCCGAUUUAGGUCGCCAGCUUUCCAGUCACUGCGAUGGCCACUGGGGCGCCCCUUCCAUCCUGGUUAAAUUCUCAUUGUGAUCCCCAGCCCUCUUCUCGGUUCCCCACACCCAGGAGGCCGGUUCUCCGCCGCUCAGGCUGGGAGAGGUCACCGCUCCGGGCAGGGUGGACCCCCAGCUCCGUCUCGGAGGACCUUUCGCCGGAGGCGAGCAGGAAGGGGUUAACCAUGAGCCUCCCACCCUCACCUCCCAGACCCUGGUGCCGGGCUAAGGCCUCCGCUUCCCUCCUGAGGUCUCAUUAGGAAACCCUCACCGCUAUUUUCAACAUUUCCUCAAUCAAGUGCCUUUAAAUAGAGCUGCACAAACAGAUUGGCGGCAAAAGCGUAGAUCUUGUCACGAUUGAGACCAAUCCAGUAUUUCAGCCUUGUUUGCUUUGCAAUUACGGGUUGGCUUGUGGCUACGGUGCCACCGGGGCAAAUCUGCAGCCGCUCGCUUUCUCCUCUGCGCUCCGGGCGGGUGGAGGAAGCGACCCGCGGAGUCACUGCAGGGAGGAGAGGGGGACGCGCGCGGGGGGAGGCGGCGGAGGGCGGAGGAGACUCGCUUGCACCCCAGGGCCGCGGGCACGCAGAGCUGUGUUGAAGGACAUACUUUUCAGGUUCCUGACAGUCACUGAGCUAUACGCAAUAAUAAAGUGCGUGAUUCGCGUGUGGAAACCAGUGUCGUGUCCUUACCAGCUUCCUUUUCUGUCCACCUUCCCUCUCUCUUCUACCUCCGUUUCGCUUUUCUUCAGUGCAUGUUAGCGGUUUGCUGGAUUUCCCUUCUCCCUCGCUGUUCAACUGCUAGCAUGAUUUGUUACAUUUUCCACAGCUGUUUAUUCUUGUUUGACUUUUUGUACAAAGUCACUUUAAAUCUGCUGCAGAAAGAAUAAAGCACCUAGCCCUUUGGAUGGACUCCUGCAGGCGUGUGGCUGUCCCUGGCCCACUUUUAAUUCUUUGGAGAUGGCUCUUCUGUGUAAAUCAGCUGCUGGGUGCGUUCGGUCACCUCGUAGGCCAGCCUAGUUUGUAUCAGCAGAACAGUAGUGGACUCGACUCAGGUCGUAAGCCUUAUAUUUCACAGACAAUUAAAUCUUGGCUGCUGUUGAACAAAACUGUAAUAUUUACUUUGUUCUAUACCGAGAAGCACUUUUAAAGUAAAAAAGAAAAAAAAA
Long non-coding RNA from Homo sapiens (human), 2012 nucleotides. Ensembl annotates it as HAND2 antisense RNA 1. Its record names the gene HAND2-AS1. NCBI's taxonomy places the organism in Eukaryota, Metazoa, Chordata, Mammalia, Primates, Hominidae. The record is from Ensembl.